RNAcentral lists this non-coding RNA (30 nucleotides) under Mus musculus (house mouse). The record is from RNAcentral. Lineage: Eukaryota; Metazoa; Chordata; Mammalia; Rodentia; Muridae.
UAUAUUGUUCCCACCAGAGAAAAAAGUCUU